Molecule: long non-coding RNA, 2477 nt
Organism: Aethalodelphis obliquidens (Pacific white-sided dolphin)
Lineage: Eukaryota; Metazoa; Chordata; Mammalia; Artiodactyla; Delphinidae
Exons: 8
Source: RefSeq, a predicted model, not a curated record
GCAGAAACUAACACACAUUGUAAAGCAAUUAUACUCCAAUAAAGAUGUUAAAAAAAACCAAAAGGUAUGUCAUCCACUAUAAAUGAUGACUGGAUCUUUUCAGACUCUGACAAUAUGAGCCACAUCUUGGGACUAUGCAGUUCUUCCUGACAUUUCCUUCCAUGAACAAUUGCACACAAUUCCACACACCUGUGUUUGCCAUUCAGUGUUCUUCACACACGUGUGACCUGCAACUCUGCUUUUGACAGGCUCCUCAUCUCCCCAGGCCCCCGUUUCCUCCUCUGCAAAUGAGGGAAAUGGCCUAUAACUCCUUCCAACCUCUUCUUCCAUCUCUAGAAUAUUCAAUACAUUAAGAGGACAGGGUUAAGAAUCAUUGCUUCGAAAGAAACUCUAAGAUUUCUAUCAUCUGAGGGCAAAGGUGGGCCUGCAAGUCAUUUAUUGUCUCAAAAAAUUAAGACCUUUCUUUAAACAUGGACCUACCAUAUGAUCCAGCCAUUCUACUCCUAGCUACUUACUCAAGAGAAAUAAAAACAUGUCUGCACAAAGACUUGUACAGGAAGCUUUAUUCCCCCAAACCACAAACUGGAAACAACCCAAAUGCCCAUUAAUAGAUGAAAGAAUAAACAAAAUGUUGUACAUCCAUACAAUGGAUUACUAUUGAGCAAUCAAAAGGAACAAAAUGAUACAUGCAAUAACAUAAAUGAAUCUCAUUAUGCUGAAUGAAGGAAGCCAGACACAAGACGACAUACUGUACAUUCUGGUUAUGUAAAAUUCUGGACAAUGCAGACUAAUCUAUUACAGUUACACAAGGCAGGUCAGUGCUUGCCUGUGGUCUGCAAAAGGUACAAGGGACCUUUUUGUGGAGGGAAAUGUUCUGUAUUUUGAUUGUGACGGUAGUUUCACAGGUGGAUGCAACUGUCAAAGCUCAUCAAAAUGUGCACUUUAAAUGAAUACAACUUAUGUAAAUUGUUUCUCAAAGUUAUCAGGGGAAAUUUUUUUGUAAGUUCUUGACUGUUCAAUCUCGGGCUUGAAGAAAAUACAUAAUGGGCAGCGGAUAAAGUUUUGAGGGGCCAUGAUAUCAAAAAAGGAAUGACAAACCCAAAAUAUUCUUAAACAUUCUGGAAAGCCCUUUAGUUUCUGGGCAGCAUGUAUGAAUUUGUAGGAAAAUAACUUAUCUUCUGAUUUCAGGUAAAGCCCAGAACAAAGAACUGCCUUGGAAGCUAAGCAAGACUCCCCAGAAGGUCUGUUGUAGCGUUUGGUAGAAUGACUAGGACAGUAACUUCUGGAAGAAGACUUCGAUUGUUGGAAUCACCCCAAGCUGAAGAAGCAACACCGGCGGCCCCUGCUUCUGUGAGGGGGCUCCUGGAUCACCAAGCAACGGCACGUCCUGGAGGUGUCGGCAGUGCUGGGGCCCACCCUUCCCCAUGGUGGUGUUUUCUGGGUCACUCUGUCUUGUCCUGAGGGCCAUGCUGUGCCGUGGCUGCGGGACACACCUUUCGUGUGUGGGCACCGUGGAUGGGCGGGUCUAACCCUGUAUCCAGUGCGUCCCUCCACUGAGCACUGUGAGGGACAGACUCCCUAACACUGCUGACACCUGUGCAUCCACAAGGCCAUUUGUCAGCGCUGAAUUCCUUGUUGAGCAAGUGGAUAAUAAAGACUUCUCCACUCUGGCUUCUGCCCACACUGCUCUGCCAAAAGUGCUCUCUCCAAGGUAACCAGUAACCUCUAUGUCGUCCAUUCCGGGGAGCAUUUCUGAGUCCUCAUCUUCCUGGAAUGCUCCUUGGAGGACCAUCUGAGAAUCCUUCUACUGCACACGGAAGAAAAUCCAACUCACAUUGUGGCAAACAAAGCAAACACAGUGCCCCCCAGCGGUGCCAGACCCCACAGGACUCGGCCGGCUCCUCAAGUGUCUCACUGCAAGCUCUCAGGUCUGCCUUUCCACAGAAGGUCAGAAAAUAGAAAUUCUGACUUUUUCAGCUACACCCAGUUCUUUCUACAAAGAGUAAACAUGAAGCUUCCUGUAGCAAAGAAAUGAAGUUUCAACCAGUUUACAGAACUCAGCAAGGUCAGGAUGAACGACAGAAUCACAAAGGACUAAGGAAUUCCACAGGGCCUAGAUUUCCAGGGGAGGCUGUCGCCUGUCUUGAAUGUCACACUAUUUAAGCUGAUAUGGAAGAAGCUCUGUAUUUUGGGCAGAUGACUAUUCAGUGCACUGAACGAUGGAUUUCAAAGCAAUCUCAACGCAGCUCACAGUAGAUCUGUCAACCCAGUGUUCUUCCAACUCAUAGCGACUCCUAGCUUUACUGGCCACUACAAGGAUAAACUACAGAAGUAAAACCUGAAGUUAUGAUCCAGGCUAUAACUGAGCUGUAUAAUAAAUAAUGAACCUCAGAUUCAAUGACGUAUAACAGACCUCAUCAUCCAAUACAAAAGCUGUAUUACUGGAACACUACUGAAGAAAAGUAAGACCAUUUACU